GCAGGGUAGAGGAGGAGCACGAGGAGGAGCAGAUCCAUGUUCUGCGAUGGUGAGCUUCAGUUACCUUUGUUCGGAUCUCUUUGUUAUUCUUCUUCACUUUGUGGAUCGUGAUGACUUGUUUUGCUUGCAGCUGGCCGCAGCCAUGCAUGGGACGCUAGGUCGAUCCAGGGGAGGCGACUGAUGCCAGCGGAUGCCAUUCUUUUCAGGAGCCACAUGAGGUUUGUCUUAAACUACUGUAUGAUUCUAGUCAUCAGUAUUCGCUACUGUUUGCUUCAGUUACCACAUGAGGUUUGCCUUAAACUUUGAUUCUAGUGCGCAUUCUAUGAUCAGAGCUGCUGGUUUUUAGCGUGUGGGAACUGAAACUUGUAACCAAGUUUCCAUGUCGCACGAAAACUUGCACCGCGGAGAACAUUUCUCUUUGCUAUCACGAUAGGCGGAAUGCU
RNAcentral lists this long non-coding RNA (443 nucleotides) under Triticum aestivum (bread wheat). Its description in RNAcentral is "long non-coding RNA (TAES_LNC005036)". Lineage: Eukaryota; Viridiplantae; Streptophyta; Magnoliopsida; Poales; Poaceae. The record is from RNAcentral.